CCGUAGGGGGGACCUGCGGAGGGAUCAUUACCGAGUUUACAACUCCCAAACCCCUGUGAACAUACCUUAAUGUUGCCUCGGCGGAUCAGCCCGCGCCCCGUAAAACGGGACGGCCCGCCAGAGGACCCAAACUCUAAUGUUUCUUAUUGUAACUUCUGAGUAAAACAAACAAAUAAAUCAAAACUUUCAACAACGGAUCUCUUGGUUCUGGCAUCGAUGAAGAACGCAGCAAAAUGCGAUAAGUAAUGUGAAUUGCAGAAUUCAGUGAAUCAUCGAAUCUUUGAACGCACAUUGCGCCCGCUGGUAUUCCGGCGGGCAUGCCUGUUCGAGCGUCAUUUCAACCCUCAAGCCCCCGGGUUUGGUGUUGGGGAUCGGCUCUGCCCUUCUGGGCGGUGCCGCCCCCGAAAUACAUUGGCGGUCUCGCUGCAGCCUCCAUUGCGUAGUAGCUAACACCUCGCAACUGGAACGCGGCGCGGCCAUGCCGUAAAACCCCAACUUCUGAAUGUUGACCUCGGAUCAGGUAGGAAUACCCGCUGAACUUAAGCAUAUCAAU
This 553-nucleotide ribosomal RNA is filed under the name Fusarium tricinctum. RNAcentral describes it as "eukaryotic LSU rRNA". The stretch from base 182 to 335 matches the Rfam family "5.8S ribosomal RNA". Lineage: Eukaryota; Fungi; Ascomycota; Sordariomycetes; Hypocreales; Nectriaceae. The record is from RNAcentral.